AGAGUUUGAUCCUGGCUCAGAACGAACGCUGGCGGCAGGCCUAACACAUGCAAGUCGAACGAUGCCUUCGGGCAUAGUGGCGCACGGGUGAGUAACACGUGGGAACAUACCUUUUGGUGGGGGAUAACUUCGGGAAACUGAAGCUAAUACCGCAUACGCCCCUUGGGGGAAAGAUUUAUCGCCGAAAGAUUGGCCCGCGUCCGAUUAGCUAGUUGGUGAGGUAAUGGCUCACCAAGGCUCCGAUCGGUAGCUGGUCUGAGAGGAUGACCAGCCACACUGGGACUGAGACACGGCCCAGACUCCUACGGGAGGCAGCAGUGGGGAAUAUUGGACAAUGGGCGCAAGCCUGAUCCAGCCAUGCCGCGUGAGUGAUGAAGGCCUUAGGGUUGUAAAGCUCUUUCACCCACGACGAUGAUGACGGUAGUG
Molecule: ribosomal RNA, 426 nt
Filed under: uncultured Alphaproteobacteria bacterium
Lineage: Bacteria; Pseudomonadati; Pseudomonadota; Alphaproteobacteria
Description: bacterial SSU rRNA
Rfam family: Bacterial small subunit ribosomal RNA
Source: RNAcentral